CUAGACUCCUAAGGGAGGCAGCAGUGGGGAAUAUUGCACAAUGGGGGAAACCCUGAUGCAGCGACGCCGCGUGAGCGAAGAAGUAUUUCGGUAUGUAAAGCUCUAUCAGCAGGGAAGAUAAUGACGGUACCUGACUAAGAAGCCCCGGCUAACUACGUGCCAGCAGCCGCGGUAAUACGUAGGGGGCAAGCGUUAUCAGGAUUUACUGGGUGUAAAGGGUGCGUAGGUGGCAUGGCAAGUCAGAAUUGAAAGCCCGGGUCUCAACCCCGCGUUCUGCUUUUGAUACUUUCCGUCUGUAGUACAGGAGAUGUAAGCGGAAUUCCUAGUGUAGCGG
RNAcentral lists this ribosomal RNA (334 nucleotides) under uncultured bacterium. RNAcentral describes it as "bacterial SSU rRNA". It matches the Rfam family "Bacterial small subunit ribosomal RNA", at positions 331 to 681 of the family's 1533-position model. The record is from RNAcentral.